RNAcentral lists this ribosomal RNA (532 nucleotides) under uncultured bacterium. Its description in RNAcentral is "bacterial SSU rRNA". It matches the Rfam family "Bacterial small subunit ribosomal RNA", at positions 380 to 905 of the family's 1533-position model. The record is from RNAcentral.
AGCCUGAUCCAGCAAUGCCGCGUGCAGGAAGAAGGCCUUCGGGUUGUAAACUGCUUUUGUACGGAACGAAAAGGUCUGCCCUAAUACGGCGGGCCCAUGACGGUACCGUAAGAAUAAGCACCGGCUAACUACGUGCCAGCAGCCGCGGUAAUACGUAGGGUGCGAGCGUUAAUCGGAAUUACUGGGCGUAAAGCGUGCGCAGGCGGUGAUGUAAGACAGUUGUGAAAUCCCCGGGCUCAACCUGGGAAUUGCAUCUGUGACUGCAUCGCUAGAGUACGGUAGAGGGGGAUGGAAUUCCGCGUGUAGCAGUGAAAUGCGUAGAUAUGCGGAGGAACACCGAUGGCGAAGGCAAUCCCCUGGACCUGUACUGACGCUCAUGCACGAAAGCGUGGGGAGCAAACAGGAUUAGAUACCCUGGUAGUCCACGCCCUAAACGAUGUCAACUGGUUGUUGGGUGCAUUAGUACUCAGUAACGAAGCUAACGCGUGAAGUUGACCGCCUGGGGAGUACGGCCGCAAGGUUGAAACUCAAA